This 495-nucleotide ribosomal RNA is filed under the name Selenomonas sp. oral taxon 140. Its description in RNAcentral is "bacterial SSU rRNA". It matches the Rfam family "Bacterial small subunit ribosomal RNA", at positions 28 to 493 of the family's 1533-position model. The record is from RNAcentral. Lineage: Bacteria; Bacillati; Bacillota; Negativicutes; Selenomonadales; Selenomonadaceae.
GACGAACGCUGGCGGCGUGCUUAACACAUGCAAGUCGAACGGAGCGAAUGAAAGCUUGCUUUUAUAAGCUUAGUGGCAAACGGGUGAGUAACACGUAGGCAACCUGCCGACAGGAUGGGGACAACAUUCCGAAAAGGAAUGCUAAUACCGAAUGAAGUCAGAGGAGGGCAUCCUCUUCUGAUGAAAGAUGGCCUCUAUAUAUAAGCUAUCACCUGUCGAUGGGCCUGCGUCUGUUUAGCUGGUAGGUGAGGUAACGGCUCACCUAGGCGACGAUCAGUAGCCGGUCUGAGAGGAUGAACGGCCACAUUGGGACUGAGACACGGCCCAGACUCCUACGGGAGGCAGCAGUGGGGAAUCUUCCGCAAUGGGCGCAAGCCUGACGGAGCAACGCCGCGUGAGUGAAGAAGGUCUUCGGAUCGUAAAGCUCUGUUGAUGGGGACGAACGUGCCUAAUGCGAAUAGUUUUAGGUAAUGACGGUACCCAUCGAGGAAGCCA